GUGGGGAAUAUUGCGCAAUGGGGGAAACCCUGACGCAGCGACGCCGCGUGGGUGAUGAAGGCCUUCGGGUCGUAAAGCCCUGUCGUAGGGGAAGAACCGGUGCACAGCUAAUAUCUGUGCGCUCUGACGGUACCCUACAAGACAGCACCGGCUAACUCCGUGCCAGCAGCCGCGGUAAUACGGAGGGUGCAAGCGUUGUUCGGAAUCACUGGGCGUAAAGCGCGUGCAGGCGGUCGAUUAAGUUCGGUGUGAAAGCCCGGGGCUCACCCCCGGAAGUGCGCUGAAAACUGAUCAACUAGAGUACGGGAGAGGGAAGCGGAAUUCCUGGUGUAGCGGUGAAAUGCGUAGAUAUCAGGAGGAACACCGGCGGCGAAGGCGGCUUCCUGGACCGAUACUGACGCUGAGACGCGAAAGCGUGGGGAGCAA
This 426-nucleotide ribosomal RNA is filed under the name uncultured bacterium. Its description in RNAcentral is "bacterial SSU rRNA". It matches the Rfam family "Bacterial small subunit ribosomal RNA", at positions 354 to 771 of the family's 1533-position model. The record is from RNAcentral.